This 253-nucleotide ribosomal RNA is filed under the name uncultured bacterium. RNAcentral describes it as "partial 16S ribosomal RNA". It matches the Rfam family "Bacterial small subunit ribosomal RNA", at positions 524 to 776 of the family's 1533-position model. The record is from RNAcentral.
UACGUAGGGGGCAAGCGUUGUCCGGAAUCAUUGGGCGUAAAGAGCGCGUAGGCGGCCCUGUAAGUCCGCUGUGAAAGUCAAGGGCUCAACCCUUGGAUGCCGGUGGAUACUGCAGGGCUAGAGUCCGGAAGAGGCGAGUGGAAUUCCUGGUGUAGCGGUGAAAUGCGCAGAUAUCAGGAGGAACACCGAUGGCGAAGGCAGCUCGCUGGGACGGUACUGACGCUGAGGCGCGAAAGCGUGGGGAACAAACAGG